Molecule: transfer RNA, 72 nt
Filed under: Trachelomonas volvocina
Lineage: Eukaryota; Euglenozoa; Euglenophyceae; Euglenales; Euglenaceae
Description: tRNA-Gln
Rfam family: tRNA
About the family: Transfer RNA (tRNA) molecules are approximately 80 nucleotides in length.
Source: RNAcentral
UGGGGUGUAGCCAAGUGGUAAGGCUACGGGUUUUGGCCCUGUGAUUCGGAAGUUCGAAUCUUCCCACCUCAG